Molecule: ribosomal RNA, 434 nt
Filed under: uncultured Clostridium sp.
Lineage: Bacteria; Bacillati; Bacillota; Clostridia; Eubacteriales; Clostridiaceae
Description: partial 16S ribosomal RNA
Rfam family: Bacterial small subunit ribosomal RNA
Source: RNAcentral
ACGGGAGGCAGCAGUGGGGAAUAUUGCACAAUGGGCGAAAGCCUGAUGCAGCGACGCCGCGUGAGUGAAGAAGUAUUUCGGUAUGUAAAGCUCUAUCAGCAGGGAAGAAAAUGACGGUACCUGACUAAGAAGCCCCGGCUAACUAUGUGCCAGCAGCCGCGGUAAUACAUAGGGGGCAAGCGUUAUCCGGAUUUACUGGGUGUAAAGGGAGCGUAGACGGCAUGGCAAGUCUGAAGUGAAAGCUCAGGGCUCAACCCUGGAACUGCUUUGGAAACUGUCAAGCUAGAGUGUCGGAGAGGUAAGUGGAAUUCCUAGUGUAGCGGUGAAAUGCGUAGAUAUUAGGAGGAACACCAGCGGCGAAGGCGGCUUACUGGACGAUAACUGACGUUGAGGCUCGAAAGCGUGGGGAGCGAACAGGAUUAGAUACCCUGGUA